GACGAACGCUGGCGGCGCGCCUAAUACAUGCAAGUCGAACGAGAGAGUUCGGUGCUUGCUCUGGUCAAUCUAGAGAAGAACGGGUGAGUACCAAGUGGGUAACCAGCCCAUCAGAACGUGACUUUAUCCGGAAAAUGAUGUCAAAAACGCAUAGGUCUUCGAGCCGCACACCUUGCCGACGCAAAGAAGCGCAAGCUACUGUCGAUGGAUGGACCAGCGGUGCGUUAGCUAGUAGGUGAGGUGAGGGCUCACGAAGGCCGUGAUGCAUAGUCCACCUGAGAGGCAGAUCGGCCACAUGGGGACUGAGACACGGCCGAAACUCCUGCGGGAGGCAGCAGUAGGGAAUCUUCCGCGAUGGACGCAAGGCUGACGGUGCAACGCCGCGUGAGUGAAGAAGGUGUUCGGAUCGUAAAACUCUGUUGUUAGAGAAGAACAAGUGCUAGAGUAACUGUUAGCGCCUUGACGGUAUCUAACCAGAAAGCCACGGCUAACUACGUG
RNAcentral lists this ribosomal RNA (498 nucleotides) under uncultured bacterium. RNAcentral's name for it is "partial 16S ribosomal RNA". It matches the Rfam family "Bacterial small subunit ribosomal RNA", at positions 28 to 507 of the family's 1533-position model. The record is from RNAcentral.